This 438-nucleotide unclassified non-coding RNA is filed under the name Hevea brasiliensis (rubber tree). The record is from RNAcentral. Lineage: Eukaryota; Viridiplantae; Streptophyta; Magnoliopsida; Malpighiales; Euphorbiaceae.
AUUGAUUCAAAAGCUUUAAAUAAAUAAACCUUUAGCUGGCUCCAACUUGCUUAGAGUUGAGGUGUAGUAGUUGUUGUCUUAGAUAUUUAUGUUUCCACAUGAACAAGAAGCAACACUGAGUAUAUUACCUACUAAUCAAGGGCCAUAUGGUCUGAUGCUGCAGCAUGAUACCCCUCAAUUGUUUGUUUCAUAUUGUCGAACUGAGAAAUCACAUAAUCGAGUUUCUUGCAACAGAUCUCAUUUGAUAUUCUUGGUACAUAGUCACACUUCUCAAAAGGACGAUAUUCACAUGCACUUUUGAUUUCUUCUCGCAGUGUGACUUGGAUGUCCUUGAUUAGUUGCAUGAACUCACUACAAUGGUUGUUAAUAAGCUCCUUCCUGGGGCCGCUCGGAUUUGCCAUUUCAUCCAUUACACCUCCUGCUAGCUCCAGAACUCUG